CACAUGCAGUCGAACGAGCGAGAGAGAGCUUGCUUUCUCGAGCGAGUGGCGAACGGGUGAGUAACGCGUGAGGAACCUGCCUCAAAGAGGGGGACAACAGUUGGAAACGACUGCUAAUACCGCAUAAGCCCACAGGUCGGCAUCGACCAGAGGGAAAAGGAGCAAUCCGCUUUGAGAUGGCCUCGCGUCCGAUUAGCUAGUUGGUGAGGUAAUGGCCCACCAAGGCAACGAUCGGUAGCCGGACUGAGAGGUUGAACGGCCACAUUGGGACUGAGACACGGCCCAGACUCCUACGGGAGGCAGCAGUGGGGAAUAUUGCACAAUGGGGGAAACCCUGAUGCAGCGACGCCGCGUGGAGGAAGAAGGUCUUCGGAUUGUAAACUCCUGUUGUUGAGGAAGAUAAUGACGGUACUCAACAAGGAAGUGACGGCUAACUACGUGCCAGCAGCCGCGGUAAAACGUAGGUCACAAGCGUUGUCCGGAAUUACUGGGUGUAAAGGGAGCGCAGGCGGGAAGACAAGUUGGAAGUGAAAUCUAUGGGCUCAACCCAUAAACUGCUUUCAAAACUGUUUUUCUUGAGUAGUGCAGAGGUAGGCGGAAUUCCCGGUGUAGCGGUGGAAUGCGUAGAUAUCGGGAGGAACACCAGUGGCGAAGGCGGCCUACUGGGCACCAACUGACGCUGAGGCUCGAAAGUGUGGGUAGCAAACAGGAUUAGAUACCCUGGUAGUCCACACCGUAAACGAUGAUUACUAGGUGUUGGAGGAUUGACCCCUUCAGUGCC
RNAcentral lists this ribosomal RNA (781 nucleotides) under uncultured bacterium. RNAcentral describes it as "bacterial SSU rRNA". It matches the Rfam family "Bacterial small subunit ribosomal RNA", at positions 52 to 847 of the family's 1533-position model. The record is from RNAcentral.